UUUCUUCGAGCUCUCAAGACCUCACGUUUAUUGCAGCCUCCUGGCCCCGUCCAGUCCCAGCCUCUCCCCAGGCCCCGGCUGCAGCUACGAUGGGGUGUCAGGGAGGUCCCCUUGGUGUUGCUUGACAGCCCGACGGCGUCCAGGCUCCGGCUCCUUCAGUCGUCCUGGAGGAUUCCAGUGGGGACUGGGCUUCUUUAAGUCCUAAGUCCGAGUCGGAGGCAGCUCACCCGAGGGGCGCCGGCCCUGGGGGUCUGCAGGGAGAGGCUUCCGUGGGGGUGGGGGCUUGGCAGGCCCCUGAGACUGAGGGAGAGAAGGAGGAGCCAGCUUGGGGAGCCGUUAGGGCGCCACCCCCGAAGCGCUGGCGCUGGGGAGCACCAGCUGUGGGGGCGGCACCUGGGCGCAGACUUGUCUCCAAACAAACCUGUCGCCAUUAAUGGCGCCACCAGCAUAAGUGCUCAGAGGCACAGAGCGGGCCUCUCGCCACGGCCACCAGCACCACAGCCCUAAGCGGGGAGGCCGUGGCCUUCUCUCCCCACUGUUACCUUCGGGCGCCUCACCACCGGGUCAGCGGGCAGAGGGGCGGGUGGGGGGGGAUUGGGUCGGUCAGCCAGCUCAGCCUGGACAGAGAGACGGGCAGUGACGGUGAGAGCACAGCCAGGGGCCGCGUGCAGAGGCUCCCCGAAGGGUUGGGUAGCGCAGUCAGCCAAGCGGCAGGCGAGAAUGGGGCAUGCUCAGGGGCCGAGGUGCGCGCCAGCAGGUGCCUGGCGAGGAAGGUGUGGCUCAAGCGUGGAGUCCCUGGCCGGCUGCAGUCCCGCCGCUGACCACCAGAUGGCGGCAGACACCAAGGCAGGAGGCUCACCCUUUGCGCCUGCUGGGGCUGUCGGAAGGCUGAGGGGCACCCUGGUUCACCUAAUGACGAUCACCACUGGCAGGGAGCAGGGACGAGAACGCAGUUGGGCACCAAGCUUCCCCCUGUCCCGGGCCAGGCGGGGCCCGGACCAGAUUUACCUGGAGUCCCUUGGGCACAGGGGUCAGGCGGCAGCGGCCUGGAGGGGGGGCGGGAAGCGGAGAGCCUCCUGAGAGGGCAGGAGCAGACAGCAGAGGGGCAGAGACAGAGACGCAGGCGUGGAGGGGUUAGUGGUGCCAGGCAGGGGCAGCCAAGGCCCGGGGGCGGUGAGGGCAGGGCAUGCACUGGCCAGCUGCGUGCAGGGGUGACUGGUGAGGCGGGCGUGCAGGCCACCCGACGACACUCCUGUCACCAGAGCCAGAGGCUCCGGCCUAGGGCACUCACCAGCCCUGCAACACGCGGUGACCUGGUCUUGUCAGGUCCCAGCACACUGCGGCCUUAGCCCCCCUUGUCCCUUGCACGGGUCUCUCCAAGCUGCCAGCCCGGCUGCUGACAGGCUCAGCACGGCCUCCCUGGGUGACGGCCCCUCCCGCUCCAGGCUGUGUCUGUGCCUGUGCCUCUGCCAGCAGCCGGGGCAGGUGGGGGGCUGACUCCACUACUGACGCUGGGCAGUGCCAG
RNAcentral lists this long non-coding RNA (1525 nucleotides) under Heterocephalus glaber (naked mole-rat). RNAcentral describes it as "lncRNA (ENSHGLG00100050247.1)". Lineage: Eukaryota; Metazoa; Chordata; Mammalia; Rodentia; Bathyergidae. The record is from RNAcentral.